Molecule: ribosomal RNA, 404 nt
Filed under: uncultured prokaryote
Also listed under: 1 other name
Description: bacterial SSU rRNA
Rfam family: Bacterial small subunit ribosomal RNA
Source: RNAcentral
UGGGGAAUAUUGCACAAUGGGGGAAACCCUGAUGCAGCAAUGCCGCGUGAGUGAUGACGGCCUUCGGGUUGUAAAGCUCUGUCUUCAGGGACGAUAAUGACGGUACCUGAGGAGGAAGCCACGGCUAACUACGUGCCAGCAGCCGCGGUAAUACGUAGGUGGCAAGCGUUGUCCGGAUUUACUGGGCGUAAAGGGAGCGUAGGCGGAUUUUGAAGUGAGAUGUGAAAUACCCGGGCUUAACUUGGGUGCUGCAUUUCAAACUGGAAGUCUAGAGUGCAGGAGAGGAGAAGGGAAUUCCUAGUGUAGCGGUGAAAUGCGUAGAUAUACGGAGGAACACCAGUGGCGAAGGCGGAUUGCUGGACAGUAACUGACGCUGAGGCGCGAAAGCGUGGGGAGCAAACAGG